CUGCCUACGGGAGGCAGCAGUAGGGAAUCUUCCACAAUGGACGAAAGUCUGAUGGAGCAACGCCGCGUGAGUGAAGAAGGGUUUCGGCUCGUAAAGCUCUGUUGGUAGUGAAGAAAGAUAGAGGGAGUAACUGGCCUUUAUUUGACGGUAAUUACUUAGAAAGUCACGGCUAAAUACGUGCCAGCAGCCGCGGUAAUACGUAGGUGGCAAGCGGUGGUCGGAUUUAUUGGGCGUAAAGCGGGUGCAGGCGGGUCAAUAA
Molecule: ribosomal RNA, 259 nt
Filed under: uncultured bacterium
Lineage: Bacteria
Description: partial 16S ribosomal RNA
Rfam family: Bacterial small subunit ribosomal RNA
Source: RNAcentral